RNAcentral lists this non-coding RNA (28 nucleotides) under Mus musculus (house mouse). The record is from RNAcentral. Lineage: Eukaryota; Metazoa; Chordata; Mammalia; Rodentia; Muridae.
UGCCAUGGCAAUGAAUGCUCCGAAGCCA